UACAGAGGUGGCAAGCGUUGUUCGGAAUUACUGGGCGUAAAGGGUGCGUAGGCGGGUCUUUAAGUCAGAGGUGAAAUCCUGGAGCUCAACUCCAGAACUGCCUUUGAUACUGAGGAUCUUGAGUACGGGAGAGGUGAGUGGAACUGCGAGUGUAGAGGUGAAAUUCGUAGAUAUUCGCAAGAACACCAGUGGCGAAGGCGGCUCACUGGCCCGUAACUGACGCUGAGGCACGAAAGCGUGGGGAGCAAACAGG
This 253-nucleotide ribosomal RNA is filed under the name uncultured bacterium. Its description in RNAcentral is "partial 16S ribosomal RNA". It matches the Rfam family "Bacterial small subunit ribosomal RNA", at positions 524 to 776 of the family's 1533-position model. The record is from RNAcentral.